AACUCAAAGGAAUUGACGGGGGCCCGCACAAGCGGUGGAGCAUGUGGUUUAAUUCGAUGCAACGCGAAGAACCUUACCUGGUCUUGACAUAGUAAGAACUUUUCCAGAGAUGGAUUGGUGCCUUCGGGAACUUACAUACAGGUGCUGCAUGGCUGUCGUCAGCUCGUGUCGUGAGAUGUUGGGUUAAGUCCCGCAACGAGCGCAACCCUUUUCCUUAUUUGCCAGCGGGUUAAGCCGGGAACUUUAAGGAUACUGCCAGUGACAAACUGGAGGAAGGCGGGGACGACGUCAAGUCAUCAUGGCCCUUACGACCAGGGCUACACACGUGCUACAAUGGUCGGUACAAAGGGUUGCUACCUAGCGAUAGGAUGCUAAUCUCAAAAAGCCGAUCGUAGUCCGGAUUGGAGUCUGCAACUCGACUCCAUGAAGUCGGAAUCGCUAGUAAUCGUGGAUCAGAAUGCCACGGUGAAUACGUUCCCGGGCCUU
This 486-nucleotide ribosomal RNA is filed under the name uncultured Acinetobacter sp. RNAcentral describes it as "bacterial SSU rRNA". It matches the Rfam family "Bacterial small subunit ribosomal RNA", at positions 898 to 1382 of the family's 1533-position model. Lineage: Bacteria; Pseudomonadati; Pseudomonadota; Gammaproteobacteria; Moraxellales; Moraxellaceae. The record is from RNAcentral.